Molecule: ribosomal RNA, 508 nt
Filed under: uncultured bacterium
Lineage: Bacteria
Description: partial 16S ribosomal RNA
Rfam family: Bacterial small subunit ribosomal RNA
Source: RNAcentral
ACUCAAAUGAAUUGACGGGGGCUCACACCAGCGGUGGAGCAUGUGGCUUAAUUCGAGGCUACGCGAAGAACCUUAUCCUAGGUUUGACAUGGUCGGAUUAGCCUCCUGAAAGGGAGGUGACGCGGCUUGCCGUGGAACGAUCACAGGUGCUGCAUGGCUGUCGUCAGCUCGUGUUGUGAGAUGUCGGGUUAAGUCCCUUAACGAGCGAAACCCUUGUCCUUAGUUACCAGCGGGUCAUGCCGGGAACUCUAAGGAGACUGCCGAUGUCAAGUCGGAGGAAGGCGGGGAUGACGUCAAGUCCUCAUGGCCUUUAUGCCUAGGGCUGCACACGUGCUACAAUGGGGCGGAACAAAGGGAAGCAAAACGGCGACGUUGAGCAAAUCCCAAAAAACGCCCCCCAGUUCAGAUUGCAGGCUGCAACCCGCCUGCAUGAAGCCGGAAUCGCUAGUAAUCGCAGGUCAGCCAUACUGCGGUGAAUGUGUUCCUGAGCCUUGUACACACCGCCCGU